GAGAAAGGGAGCAAUCCUAAGUAAAGUGGCGCACGGGUGAGUAACACGUGGAUCAUCUACCUUUUAGUGGGGAAUACCUCUGGGAAACCGGAGACAAUACCGCAUAAGCCUGUAAAGGGAAAGCAGCAAUGCGCUGAAAGAGGAGUCCGCGGCCGAUUAGCUAGUUGGCGGGGUAAUGGCCCACCAAGGCGAAGAUCGGUAGCCGGCCUGAGAGGGCACACGGCCACACUGGCACUGAAACACGGGCCAGACUCCUACGGGAGGCAGCAGUGGGGAAUCUUGCACAAUGGGCGAAAGCCUGAUGCAGCGACGCCGCGUGAGCGAUGAAGCCCUUCGGGGUGUAAAGCUCUUUCGACGGGAACGAUAAUGACGGUACCCGGAGAAGAAGCUGCGGCUAACUACGUGCCAGCAGCCGCGGUAAUACGUAGGCAGCGAGCGUUGUUCGGAAUUACUGGGCGUAAAGAGUGUGUAGGCGGUGUUCCCAGUCUGUUGUGAAAUCUCCCGGCUUAACUGGGAGGGUGCAGCGGAAACUAGAAUGCUAGAGGGUGGGAGAGGUAAGCGGAAUUCCUGGUGUAGCGGUGAAAUGCGUAGAUAUCA
RNAcentral lists this ribosomal RNA (597 nucleotides) under uncultured bacterium. RNAcentral describes it as "bacterial SSU rRNA". It matches the Rfam family "Bacterial small subunit ribosomal RNA", at positions 69 to 699 of the family's 1533-position model. The record is from RNAcentral.